This 432-nucleotide ribosomal RNA is filed under the name uncultured bacterium. RNAcentral's name for it is "partial 16S ribosomal RNA". It matches the Rfam family "Bacterial small subunit ribosomal RNA", at positions 29 to 507 of the family's 1533-position model. The record is from RNAcentral.
AACGAACGCUGGCGGCAUGCCUAACACAUGCAGGUCGAACGAGACCUUCGGGUCUAGUGGCGCACGGGUGCGUAACGCGUGGGAACCUGCCCUUAGGUUCGGAAUAACUCCCGAAAGGGGUGCUAAUACCGGAUAAUGUCUUCGGACCAAAGAUUUAUCGCCUUUGGAUGGGCCCGCGUUGGAUUAGCUAGUUGGUAGGGUAAAAGCCUACCAAGGCGACGAUCCAUAGCUGGUCUGAGAGGAUGAUCAGCCACACUGGGACUGAGACACGGCCCAGACUCCUACGGGAGGCAGCAGUGGGGAAUAUUGGACAAUGGGCGAAAGCCUGAUCCAGCAAUGCCGCGUAAGUGAUGAAGGCCUUAGGGUUGUAAAGCUCUUUUACCCGGGAUGAUAAUGACAGUACCGGGAGAAUAAGCUCCGGCUAACUCCGUG